RNAcentral lists this ribosomal RNA (339 nucleotides) under uncultured bacterium. RNAcentral describes it as "partial 16S ribosomal RNA". The record is from RNAcentral.
CUUAAUGCGUUACUGGCGGCAAUGAGACGAUUAACCGUCCCAACACCUAGUUGACAUCGUUUACGGCGUGGACUACCAGGGUAUCUAAUCCUGUUUGCUCCCCACGCUUUCGCACAUUAGCGUCAGUAUUUGGCCAGGUGGUCGCCUUCGCCACUGGUAUUCCUCCCGAUAUCUACGAAUUUCACCUCUACACCGGGAAUUCCACCACCCCCUCCAAUACUCAAGUCUCACAGUUUCAAAUGCACGUCCAUGGUUGAGCCAUGGGCUUUCACAUCUGACUUACAAAACCGCCUACGCGCGCUUUACGCCCAGUAAUUCCGAACAACGCUUGCACCCUCC